Dermacentor albipictus is the source of this 4102-nucleotide RNA transcript. It is a transcript of the gene named nucleolar protein dao-5-like, with no coding region annotated. The record is from RefSeq and is a predicted model, not a curated record. Lineage: Eukaryota; Metazoa; Arthropoda; Arachnida; Ixodida; Ixodidae.
CGUUGCUCUAUGAAUAAUUGCCAUUGCUAUUAUUUCUCCACAUUCCCUUCUCGCUUUGAGGCUGCAAAUUAUUCUGCAAGUGGGAAGCGUUUGCGAGUAAUUAGACGGAUUAGACUUUCUGCUCCGCUUCCUUGAGUGAAGUUUUUGUUUCGCGAGAAAGAUGGUGAAGAGGAAGGACAGGACGGCGCGGCGGCAGAUCUUGCAGUUAAAGGAGGAGAAAAGCCGUGCGUAUUCGCCGCCAGCUAAGAAUCCAGCGAUUGGUCCUGCUGAGCCAUCGUUAAGUCAAGGAGAUAAUGACGAAGGCGACGCACUUGAUGAAGCAAGCAAAAGCGAGCCGGCCUCGAAAAACGGGGUUCCGAGAGAUGCCAUAGACGACCAGUUGGAAGACUUCAUGAAGGAAAUUGAUGCCAUCUCAUCAACCGUUCCUGAGACAGAUCCACAGGGCGAGGAUGAUAAGGAUGAAUUACCUGAUAAAGAGGCCAUGACAGCCACUUCAGGCUGUCUUCCAGCUUCUGGGACACCUUCCGAAGAAGUCAGCACCGAAGUGCCACAGUCAAAAGCAAACACUGUGGAUGCACCUUCAACCACUGAAGGCGAGGUUCCCGCUUGCCCCUGGGUAGAAUGCAUGGAUGAAGCAACAGGUUACACCUACUUCUGGCAUCAGUUGACCAAUGAGGUGACGUGGGACUGCCCUCCGGAGUAUGAAGCCUACUGGGCACAGUAUGGGGAACCAGUUGAUGCAGAGAGCACUGUACCUGGACAUGGAGCAGCUGCUGCUGCUUCUUCUGCAACAACUUCAGGACUGAGUGAUGGUGCACAGGUGCUUCCUGAAACCUCAAGCAGUGCACCAGCGUCUUCGAUUGCUGUGACUGCACCUAACAGCAGUAAUUCAUUGAAUGUUCAAGCUGCUGAUGCCUGCAGCACGGAAGGUGGAAGCACCAAACCUGCUGUAUCAUCUGCAACUAGUGGAUCGGUUGCUAGCAUGGCGGGAGAACCUGAAUUGAGUAAAACAGUAACAACGUCUGGCAAGAAGAAGCGCAAGCAGGAAGCUGCCAUUGGGGUUAUCAUUCCAAUAACUUCAUAUGGUGCAUCCGACAGUAGCUCAUCUGAGGGUAGCGACGAGACUUAUUCAGUUCAGAGGGCGCAACGGAAGAGGCAUCCUUCCAAGCGGCUGAAGGUUGCUGCCAAGAAGCUGCGUAGGGAGUCGCCACCGCUGGUUGCCUAUGGACCACAGCUGCCGGACUCUGCGCUCACUCAAGGAGAAGAGCCUGUGUACGGUCCACAGCUGCCAGAUGCUCCCGAUUCCAUGGAAGUAACAGUUUAUGGUCCGCACUUGCCAGAGGAGGAGAAAGUUGUCUAUGGGCCCCACCUGCCAGAGGAGAUCAGGACCGUCUAUGGGCCACACUUGCCGGAGCCUGAAGAGAGGGUUGUGUACGGACCACACUUGCCAGAGCCCGGUGAACCUGAAUUUCAUCAGCCCCCCAUUUUAAUUGGUCCACAGCUACCUGAGUUCCACGAGUUCGCAACUGAAAAGCCCAGUACCAGUGUGUUUAUUGGCCCAUUGCUUCCAGAUGGAUUCUAUGAGAAACGAUCGGAGUGCUGUGAAGAAGAGAAACCCGCGGUUCAAAAACCGUGUCCAAGCUUAGAAGAUACUUCGUCUCACUGCAUGGAAUCGGGUGAACCUAUAGCUGCAUCUGAGGCACCCACUGUUCGAGGAACCCAAGCUGGUGAAACUGUACAGGAAAGUAUGCAUUUUCCUACAGCCGCCAGAGAGACUUCUGGUGCUCCUGAUGGAACGACAGUUAGUGCAGUGCCGGCAUUGUCUGGCCUGGUGGAUUACCCUGGCUCUCCUGUCGCUGACAGCGAAACAGAUGAUGAGGGGAAAGGUAAGGAAGAUAAAAAAGUGUUGACGCCAGCCCCAAACACUGAGAAGGAGUCAACUAUUGUGAACUAUCCUGUCAUGACUAGUGGAAAGCUCCAGUUUGAAGCAGUUGUGCAGGAUGUGCCUAAAGAAGUGGUGUCUCAAGGUGUUAGUCAAGGCAGUUCCAAUGCUCGUGUCAGCUCCUUGGCUGUAGCAGGACAGCUGAAGUCAAAACAAGUCAAGGAGGCAAAGAAGGGAUCGCAGCACCUGGUUUCUUAUGGCGACUCGGAGAGCAGUGAUGACGACAGCAUGGAGGUAAAUGUUACUGCUACGGAGCCGCCACUUCCCUCCACAGCUCGACCAGCCCUCCCUUCAGCAGCGGAUGAGGAAGAUGAAGAGGAAAAGCAUGUGGGCCUUGGUUGCUCCAAUAGUGAUGCUAUGGAUGCACAUGUUACAGAUGACAAGAACCCUCCACCAGCGAAGCCAUUUGUUGGAGUCAACUUUGUCAGAUCAUCUGAGUUGCUUGUGUUGAGUGAAUGUGCUGCUCAGGGUGACGGUGCAACUGAAGAGAAGACAAAAGAGGCGGAGAAAGAACAGUCGCCUUGCUCAGAGAGUACUGGCAAUGAAAGCUUGGCCUCCCCACAAGAACAGAAGACACCGAAUGAUUCCGAUGUGGACGAUUUCGAUGAUGUCGUGCGGGCACUCGACAUUGCUUUGUUAGAGUCGCAAAAGAAAAAAACCCAGGAGGACAGUACAAAGCAUGAAGACUUGUCCAGUGUUGUGAAAAAAGAAUUGUCCAGUGACACAAGUGAAGAAGAAGGUGAAAUAAGGUCUUCUGAAUCAUCCAGUGAGGAAGGAAUGACACCAGUGCGUCGUAGUAGUUCAGAAUCUGAAGAUGAACCAGAAGUUGAUGCCAGAGUAAUGAAAGACAAACUGUCUAGGAGAAAAGGCGCAUCUCCCAAGCCUGAGAGUAAGGAUACACUUAAGCUGGAUAUUGAAGAGGCUUACAAGCAGCUGACGGACCAAUUGAAUCCUCUGCGAGAUGUCAUAGCCUGCAGGAACAGCUACUUUGAACUCGUCGUGAAGACUAUGACUCGUAUGGAGGACUGGCGCGCUGGUGCAUUGGGCUCUGACUACUUCCUACAGAAGUUGCAUGAUGCUCGUGCUGCUGCUGCUGAGCUUCACCAACUGGUCCAGGCUGCCGAGAAAACACAGAGCGAUGAACCUUGCCAAGAACCGUUACCGCCUGGCUGGCAGAGGCACUGGGACAGCCUGAGCAGGAGCCUUCAUGAAGCCUGGUCUUCUUGGCUUGGGCGGGAAGGCUGGCUUGGGAGGUGGUGCCUCACUGCUGCCACUGCUGCUGCUGUGUUUCAUUUCUUUUUUUCCUCACGAGCUCAAGAAGCCCUCCUCCUCGAUUUUUUUCUGGGAGAAGGCUCCUUCCAUGCUCCCACAAACUCCUCUCCCUGCAGUACACUUACGAAUGACCCACAUCCUCUUGCCCUGUUUCUUACACCACCCCGGUCACAUGCCACCCUUGCUCUUUUCCCUCACCGUCUCCUGCAUCUUUUGAUCUGACAUUUCACUCGUCACCCGCUGUCAUUGUGGUAAAUUGCAACCAGUGAGCGACAAGUUGCUGGGCUUUCUGGAGUUCCUGCUGGACUUGUCAUGGCCAAACUUGGACGACAUAGGUUGACGUGCCUUGGCUGAUCCCAUGUUGCUGUUGUGUGCUCUGUCCAGCCUGCAAGAGACUCUCUACUGGACAGGAAGAACACCAAGCCUGUGAAGAGCACUCAAUUUUUCAGAGUUGAGUGGCAGCUGUUUGCCAAUGGAUUGCCUCGAAUAAGACAUCCCUAAGAGUUGUGGUCUGGUGCGGGUGCCUCUUGUGGGAGUAACACCAAUGCCUCGGAUGGACAUUGCUUUGUCUGAGAAUUCCGUGGGACAUGGGGUGUCAUCGGGCAGAGGACGCUACAUCAUUUCCUGCUGCCAUGUUACUUAUAAACGACUCACCGUACUGCUGCAUCAUAGGACUGGGUCUUGUGCAGCACAACGCACGCCUGCCAUCUCUUUCUAGAAGCGCUUGGAUGUCAUCAUUUUAGGCUUUAGUGGGCACGCAAGAUAUUUUUAUGUGCACGAGGAAACGGGCCAUUCCCAGUGGGUGUCCCCCACUGUAACAGAUGCCAGCAGCGGCACGCUCGAUUCCACCUCUCCUACGACUGACACAGGAGUGAAUUCUGACAAGUC